GACAGAGGGGGCAAGCGUUGCUCGGAAUUACUGGGCGUAAAGGGCGCGUAGGCGGGAUGGCAAGUCGGUCGUGAAAUCCCUCGGCUCAACCGAGGAACGUCGAUCGAUACUGCUGUUCUUGAGGAUUGCAGAGGAGACUGGAAUUCCCGGUGUAGCGGUGAAAUGCGCAGAUAUCAGGAGGAACACCGGUGGCGAAGGCGGAUCUCUGGGCCUUACCUGACGCUCAGGUGCGAAAGCUAGGGGAGCGAACAGG
This 253-nucleotide ribosomal RNA is filed under the name uncultured bacterium. RNAcentral describes it as "partial 16S ribosomal RNA". It matches the Rfam family "Bacterial small subunit ribosomal RNA", at positions 524 to 776 of the family's 1533-position model. The record is from RNAcentral.